RNAcentral lists this long non-coding RNA (216 nucleotides) under Homo sapiens (human). Its description in RNAcentral is "LHRI_LNC135.1". The record is from RNAcentral. Lineage: Eukaryota; Metazoa; Chordata; Mammalia; Primates; Hominidae.
CUUUGAUCAUCACUUUCUCUGCUGCAUCCCCACUGUCUCUGUGCAUUGGUCUGUUACUGCACAGUGGGCACACAAACGUGUUGGUCCUAUAACACCACUGAGUCUAGGGUCCAAAUCCUCCUAGCCCCUGAGAGAGGAGGAAGUUCCUUCUCCCUGGGACCAAGAGCCAAGCUCAGAUCCUGCCCCAGUGUGAACCCUCUUCCAGGCUGGUUUGAG